UGGUGGAGUGAUUUGUCUGGUUAAUUCCGUUAACGAACGAGACCUCGACCUGCUAAAUAGUUUGAUGAAUUCUUCGGGAUUCAUAUAUCACACGACUUCUUAGAGGGACUAUCGGUGAUUUAGCCGAUGGAAGUUCGAGGCAAUAACA
RNAcentral lists this ribosomal RNA (148 nucleotides) under uncultured eukaryote. RNAcentral describes it as "partial 18S ribosomal RNA". It matches the Rfam family "Eukaryotic small subunit ribosomal RNA", at positions 1299 to 1458 of the family's 1831-position model. The record is from RNAcentral.